RNA transcript from Melitaea cinxia (Glanville fritillary), 1495 nucleotides. RefSeq lists it as uncharacterized. The record is from RefSeq and is a predicted model, not a curated record. NCBI's taxonomy places the organism in Eukaryota, Metazoa, Arthropoda, Insecta, Lepidoptera, Nymphalidae. The transcript has 4 exons.
UAAUAACAUCAAACAAAAUUAUGGAGAAAAAGUUGUAAAACAUAUUAAGGUUUGGGCCAAUAGCACAGUAAAAUUAGCUUCACUAAAGAAUAGACGAAUUUUUUUAUUACAAUGUAGACUCAAUAAGGUUAUACCGAAACAUAUUAUUCAAAACUUUAAAUGCACAUACCCGUUACUUUUAGAAAAACACCCUUACAAUAAACAAGUAGAUAAAUUAAUAAAGAAUUUUCAUCGUUCUUUUUUAAAUAUUGAAAUAAAGGUAACAAUAUGGGACAUUGAACAACUACUGAUAAAAAUACAAAAUUUAAAAGAAUUAAUUGGCGAAGUGGUACCGCGAGACGUCUUGGAUAAGUGUAUAAAUAUGAAUAACAAUAGAUUUGAUAAACUUUUUGACAAAAUAAAGAAAAAUAACAUUAAAAAAUUAUCGAACUUAGUAAAAGAAAAAUUGAAUAGAAAUAAUUUGGACAAUACAAAUAACAAGGUGUUUAAUUUUACAAAUAUAGGGUUACCAACAGAAGUAGAAAGUAUCCUGAAAUUGGAACCUAAAUUUGGGGUGGAGACAAAAAAUAAUAUGAAGUAUCUACCUACGGUUAUCAAGGACGUUGAGUAUGGUAUUGCAUCGGUAAAGGUAGAAAAUUGUGAAACCACUGAAGAAAAUAUUAAAAAUAAUUUAAGAUCCAGAGUAGUUAAUGUCAUUUCAAAUUUCUAUAAAAAGAAUAAAUUGAAUGAAAAACAUCAGAUAAUUAGAAAAAACUUAACGUAUACACGACGGUUCCUCAAGGAUAGACAAGAUUUGAUUGUUGCACGAUCAGAUAAAGGAAAAUGGAUAAAGACCCCACUAACAAGUUCGAGCGUAUAGGUAACAAUAUAGUCAAGAAGAUGAUGGGAUUAAAAUUAAUUGAUAAACCACGUGCUGAAAGGUUGACGUCGAGGUACACGGUUGCUCCGCGGAUCUACGGUUUGAGGAAAACACAUAAGAAUACAUGUUUAAUGAAGACAUACAGUUUACUUUAGAAAUAGAACAAAACAAUCGCAUCUCUUUCCUUGAUAUUUUGAUAGAAAGAAGAGAAGGGUGUUUAAUUACUGACUGGUUUAUCAAACCGAUAAGUUCUGGUAGAAUGUUGAAUUUCGAAUCAAACCAUCCACGUGCACAAAAGAUAGGAAUGAUUACUGGGUUAUUGGAUAGAAUGAUUAAAUUAAGUAAUGAAGCACAUUGGGAAAAAAAUUAUAAAAUUAUUAGUAACUUGUUGUUAAAAAAUGGAUAUAAUAAGUCUUUCAUUAACGCGAUUGUAGGAAAAUUUAGACAGGAAUUGUGACAUCCAUGUGGAGUGACGUGUUUUUCGGCCGUUAACAAAAAAAAUUAAAAUUAAAAAAAAAAAAAAAAAAAAAAAAAAAAAAAAAAAAAAAAAAAAAAAAAAACUAAUUGGAGGAUGUAAUUUAAUAAUCAAAAAUAUGUAUUGAUGCGACUAUAUGUGAGUAAAAGCCUGUAUUAUAA